GCCAUGGCCUACCUGCUGAACAGCUUUCCUUACAUUGAACAGAUUCGAGGAUGUCCAUUCCAGGUCUGUCACAUGUGACACAGUGGAAACCAUUACAUACUCCAUCUCUCUAAAGAAAUAAAGAAAAGGCCUGUUCACUGCACAAUCUCAUAUCACGGAACAAUUCUUCCAACAUUACAAAGUGAAAUCUCAUAAAGAGACCGGUACCAGAAGCCACAGUUUCUUACCUUCUAUUUGGUUGUGCACACUGUGACCACAAUUUCAUUAUAACCAGGUUUAACCC
This is a non-coding RNA of Rattus norvegicus (Norway rat), 283 nucleotides long. NCBI's taxonomy places the organism in Eukaryota, Metazoa, Chordata, Mammalia, Rodentia, Muridae. The record is from RefSeq and is a predicted model, not a curated record.